AUAGACCAUAUAACCUUGCCAACUAAAGCGUCCUACUCUACCGCAGUAAGGGCUUAAGCGAUCGAAGUGACCUAACCUGGCUCCAUCUAGAAGGUUGGAAUCUUCCGGGUCUAUCUGCUCUUCAAUACCUUUGCCUCAACUGGGAUUUCGAACCUUUGUUUUCGGUACCAAAAAGUCAAGUGGGUCAGAACUCCUAUGAAGUUUGAAGUUAGAACCCAAG
Molecule: long non-coding RNA, 220 nt
Filed under: Nicotiana benthamiana
Lineage: Eukaryota; Viridiplantae; Streptophyta; Magnoliopsida; Solanales; Solanaceae
Description: long non-coding RNA (NBEN_LNC039587)
Source: RNAcentral